This is a long non-coding RNA of Thunnus maccoyii (southern bluefin tuna), 4999 nucleotides long. RefSeq lists it as uncharacterized. The transcript has 3 exons. NCBI's taxonomy places the organism in Eukaryota, Metazoa, Chordata, Actinopteri, Scombriformes, Scombridae. The record is from RefSeq and is a predicted model, not a curated record.
UUGAGUCAUCAGUCUCAUCACAUCACAUCAGUGGGUUUGUGUGUCGAUAUGCAGUUAUAGGUGAUGUAACAAAUGUCCACAUAGGAGUGUUGUUUCAUUGAUUACUUUGUUUUUAAUAUAGUGUUAGAGGUUAAAUACAGAAUAUACAAAGGUGAAUGUUAUUCAUUAUUUCCAGCUGCAACAAUUUAUAUGAUCUGAGCAGCAGCAGGAAUUUCCUCCGAACACAUAAGGGUACAGCAUCAUAUAGAUGUAAACAUACAUGAGCAUAGAGCUUAUCAAGGUGACAACAGCAGAGCUUCAAUACAAAAGGAGUUUGGGAUAGUUGAUGGAGUUGAUGCAGCAAAGUAAUAGUGAGAGCUCACAGUCUAAAUGUGUUUAGAUGUUAGUAGUUGAACAGAUGAUGCAUCAAUAUGCCAGUGAUACUGUGACAGCUGACUAUCAACUGAAUGAUGUAUUCACAUCUCUCCUAAUCGUUGAGGCCAUGGCUUGUUAUGUUUUGGAUUACAGUGUUUAGGUGUUCACAUUAUUUUGUCCCCCAGAGGUGCAUCAUCUCCUCUCUGGCACAUUUUCAACAAAAAAAUGAACAUUGUGAGCUUUGCAGAGACAUAAUUGACUGCAGGGUUGUUGUUUUUGAAUUGCAUUAUACUGUGCAGAUUUUCAUGUUAAUGUCCUGUAAUCCUCUGCAAGCAAACUGUCACGAAGACGCAGCACAGUUUCUGGACAAGGAACAAAGUUGUCUAUGCUGAAAUGCCUGCAGCCUGGCUUAAAGCAUGUCUUGAGAAUACAAUAGAAUGGAAUCAAAGCUCCUUUUAAUUUUUAUCAAUGAUGCUUCUAAUCUUUUUAGCAGCGCCAAAGUUGGUUUAAGUUAUUCAGGUUUUGUGCUUGGAGUCUUAAAUGAUUAAAAUGAUAUUGAACUGAAUCAUAUUGAACUAAACCCACAAAACAUAUCCCACAUUAUCACUCUGUCACUGGCUUAUUCACUCUGCUGUUGGGAUGAUGUAUUGAAUAAAACAGCAAGAAAUGUGGAAAGGAAAAUUAGAAGACAGAUGGUCUUCCUUCCACUUUUAUACUAAGACUUAAUACUUCACUAGAUUUCAGAAAUAAUGCACUUUUAAACCGCAUGUAACAUCUGUACGUAUGGAUUUAAAUAGAAGAAGAUGAACAUGAACAUAGUGCCGAUAGUGUAAUACUGUACACUGGCAAAAUGAACACAAAAUCUAAGACUUUCAAUCUUAGAUUCUACUUCAAAGAGGAGAGAUCAGUUAGACUAUUUAUUUAGAUAGUAACACUUUCACACACUUCAACUUCCAUUUAGACUCCAUCAACAUGUAGCAUUUUCAUUACAUGUAGGUCCAUGGAGAUGUGAGAGAGAUGAGAAUCCCACUAGAGUCUAGACACUGAUUGUGGUGGAGUGAGGCCAGAGAGUCAAAAGUGGAACUUCUCAGUUGAAUCUGAGGAUCAUGGUGAUGAUGGAGGUGAUGAAGAGAGAGCUGAGGGGCCAUAACAGUGGCAAGGCAGGUCUGUUUGAUCCCCAUGCCGUGCUAUCUUCAGUUUUCUCCAUUCAGCCCGUAUGGACGAGGAUCAGUGGAGUGGACCGCCCGUCUGCCCAAAGGGACAAAAGUCCCCCUGCUAAUUGCUGCCACAUCAAAUGAAGAGGGACAUCCCAAAUAGGAGCCCUCAGAUUGAUGGAGAGGGAGAGAGGGAGGGAGAGAGGGGAAGAAAAGGACAGCCAGUUAUUCUUAAAGCUGCUCACUGGUUUCACUCUGAUUACUCCUCAGUCUUUGUUGAGCAUCAGCUGAUGAAGUCUGGUUAUUUGUUAAAGUUGUUGAAGUGAUCAUCCAUGAUUUUAAUAUUUUGAAGGGGAAUCUUCUAUGUCUUUAAUUCAUAACAAACAUUUUUAUGCACAUAACACAUUUUUGUUAGAACCAGGCCUUUAAUAGCACUAAUCACAGCUAAGUAUGAAUGUAAGUCAUGUAAGUACAUUGACUUAAAUUCUGACAAUCAAUUAAAUUUUGAGGUAAUGUCUCAAGGGGAUUGUCAGCGUGUUAGCAUCUCUGAUUUGUUUAAAGAAUAUAAAGCCAGUAGACCUCAGAGCCAAAAACAUUAAAGCUGCAUACCAGUACUGUGCUACACAGAUGAAACCAACUUCAUUUUAUAGCUGCAUUAUUAACUAUGUUCGUAUUAACAAAGAAUCAAAUGACUAUUAUGUGAAAGACAAAGCUCUUUAGUUUAAACUAGCCGACAGAACGAUGACAAUAGACUCAGAAGUUGAAUGAGGUGCAGUUUUAAAAUACUUUUUAUUAGCACCUCAUUCUUUACCAAUGACUGAUUCUUGUUUCCCGCAAGUAUUAUUGUGACUGGAAAACUUUCCGUUAUUGCACUGCUUUUACUUAAGUGAAGGAUAUAAAUUCAGUUUCUGGCAUUGUGCUCAUAAAAUGAAAAUGGCAGCAGUAGUAAAAUGUAAAGGUGAUGUUUUUAAUCAGUUUUCAUCACAAAUGUAGAGUUUUGUUUUACUGAAUCAAAGGGAUGAAUGUGCUAUGCUGUUGUAUCCAGUGGCUGUGAGGUAAAUUAAUGGUUCAGUGACGUCCCAGUAACCAUACCAGCAUUAUAUGAAGAGGAUUUUAGUGGUGGGUCAAUGUUUAGCUUUUGUUUUAUUCCUCAUCACAGAGUUUUUUGGAAAACAGUUGGAGGAGAGACAUUCCCAGAUUAGUUCUGCCCGUGCGACUGCCUGCUAUGUUAUUGGGAAGCAGACAGUAGCUGACUGACUGACUGACUGCCUGUUUGACUGGCUGCCCUCUUAUUGUCCUUCAGCAACGAGGAAGAUCAGUGGACCAGGACCCGGCAACAAAAGGCUUGGAGCCACAACUCUGUGUGUGUUUGUGUGCUGGUGUAUGUGUGUAGCUGUCACGGCCCAGUGAUAUAAGUGUCUCGGGGCCCCAGCCAGGUCCCUGCACCACACAGGGACAGAAAGAGAGAAAAAGCUGUCACUUCAGAGGGCCUUUUCAAAACCUGCAUCACUUUAGAGCAAACAGGCCCUGAAAGUCACAGUCCAUAUAGUCCUCCGAGCAGUCAAGUGGCCGCUGCUCAGCUUCUGCAUCAAAUGAUUUGUUUCUUAAACUCCCCCCUCCUGCCUCAACAUCACCCCUCGCUCCCACCCUGCCCUUCCUUUUCUCAACUCAUGCAUUCCUGUUUUCCAAUUGUGUUGUCUUUGUGUCACAGCAAGGCUUUGUUGGGGCCAUGGAUGGCUGUCGAGGCCGGCAGUGCAGUUUCAAAGUGUUUAUUGAUGUGCAGUCUCCACAUGAUGUUGGAUCUUGUUGUCAGGGGUCACAACCUGUUGAUGUUCCGGUGUGGCCGGAGUGAGGCUCACAUCUUGAUCCAUGCCGGCGGGUCACGCUAGGCCUUUGAAAGCAACAAGGCAAACAGAUCUUUUGGACGUCGGCUCAUCCAUCAAGCACACCUUAAGACUGUAUCAGCCAAGCAUGCAGCGCUGUCACUCACAGGUAAGUAAGCUGUUGGUGGCAGGAAGCAGAGUCAGAGGAGGAGCUGCUGUAAAUCAGUCAUUGAGGGUAACGUCCAAGUUGGUAACACUGUCCUGUUUUCUUUUCACUAUUUGUCUAUUUUAUGAUCCAAUGCAACUUCAUUGAAUUUAAUUUCAUCAUAUUAACACUAACCCUCUUGAGUAUAUUUUUCCUGUAUUCAAAAGAGGAAGCAUUCUUCUUUUUUGUCACAAGACCACAUCAUGUUGGCUAUCAACACCUAGCGAUUUUGGCCAACACUGAAAAUUUGGGAGGACACAUCACUCUUAAAGGAUAAAGCUGGUGAUUUUCUAUAUUUUUCUUAUUGUCAUGAAAUCUCAUAUGCAGAGCCAAACUAACUAUGAAUUGAUCUACUUACAAAUGUGCAUUCAAAGCCUCUAUGCAAGGCAGAGGCCACUGCACAUGCGCAGAACACAUUUCUGUUCACACUGCUUCACUAGCAUGUUGCGCUAAUAGAGUGCUAUCACCACAGAGAAAUACAUCAAACCUAAAUUUCUCGUUUUUGGUAUUUAAAAAUUUCACCAAAUAAGUACAAAAGUCUAUACAACAGCAACAAGGAUAUAUAUGCUGAUUUCACAGCAAAAAAUUAAGUUAAUUUGAGUUUAAUUUGAAACCCAGCAGCUGGAUUUUCCACAAGUCAAACUGAACAUGCAGCUCUCACUGACAAAAGAAGAAUGUGCUUGCAGCUCUCAAGUGUCAGUUUAUGUAACAGUCUAAGUGCAAAGCAGUGCAUUGAAAAAAUGUAAACAAAAAGAUCAUUUGUUAGAAAAAGUUAAAAAAAAAAACAAAAAAACAUGGACAGUGUUGAUGUUUGGCACUUGAGUUGUCCUUCCAGGAGAUACAGUAUGUAAUGAGCCUGAAAUGGAGGAUCAGCUGACGCCACUGUGUGAUGUUUGCUUGUAACAGAGAUCUGAGGAUCUGAGAGGCCAUCACCCAGCCACUGAGCUCACUAGCUCUCAUUGAACUUGUUUCCAGACACAGCAAGUGGCUGUUUUCAGAGAAAAGGUUCCAAAAAAUCCACUGCACACUACCUACCCAGCACCAAAUUGCACACAGACACAGUUAGCAAGUAGCUGGCGAACAUUUAGCAGCUAGAAAACCAAAUAUUUUUCUCAGUAGUUGGUGGAAGCCAAACAGAGCUAGAAGGAGAUUGAAUGGAAAGUGGAAUGGAAAGAAACAUGAUGAAUGCUAAUGUUGCUCUGUAUCUGCUGAAUGUGUAAAUAAUCAACUGCCAUGUCAACUUCAUAAGGUGAUAAUAUGUGUAUAUUGAGUGGUAUCUAGGGGUGAAGUUGCAGAUUGCAACCAACUGAAUACCCCUCACCCUCCCCUUCCAAGCAUGUAGGAGAACCUACAGUGGCCACCAAAAUCGCAAAAAACGUAAAAUGCCCUCACUAGAGCCAGUGUUUGGUUUUUCCAUUCCGGGAUACUGUAGAAACAUGGCGGUGCAACAUGGCGGGCUCCGU